Molecule: long non-coding RNA, 1969 nt
Filed under: Ananas comosus (pineapple)
Lineage: Eukaryota; Viridiplantae; Streptophyta; Magnoliopsida; Poales; Bromeliaceae
Description: long non-coding RNA (ACOM_LNC031173)
Source: RNAcentral
CCGAAUAUGAGCUAGCUCGUUGAAAUAUUGAACCAAAAAAUUCAGCUCAUAUUUGCCUUACUUAUUAAAGAGCCGCACACAAACCGGCUCACGAGCAACAAAUUAAAAGGAUUAGACUUUGAUCUAAUUGUUGAGACAUUACAUAUAAAUAAACUUUUUUAUAAUUGAGUUUGCUUUAUAUUUAGAGUAGACUAAAAAUUAAAUAAUAAUAUAUUUAUUUAUUUAUAUAUAUAAAUAUAAAUUAUAUAAAAUUAUAUAAAUAUAAAAUAAAUCUAUUCGAGCUGUUAUCAAGCCGAACAUGAUCGAGCUGACCACAGCUUGUGUUCGACUCGAUUUACUAAACGAGAGAUACGAUCUUGAGCUUAUUUUGAAUUGAAUACGAGCUGACUCGCGAACAGCGAGCUAGAUCAUCACCUCAUGCACCAAAGUUUAGAAAAUGUAUUGUACAUUUUUUUUUGGAUUAAUUGCAUACAGAUCUCCGCAAAUAUAGUGAAUUGCAAAUAUAUUAUUGUAAAAUUCAACUUUUAUAAGUUAUUUCUGUCAAAAUUCUAAUAUUUUCAGAUAUGUCCCUACCGUUAGAAUCCGUUAGAAAAGUUUAGUUAAUCAUAGGUGAAAUACUUUAUCCUGAUUAAUUUUUGAUAGUUUUACCUCUCUUAUAUUAUAUUACUAUAACUUUUGAAGAGAUAUAUUUGUGAUGGCAAAAUUGAAAAUGUAAACAGUUUUCUAUCGGUUCUUUAACGGUAACAAACCAAAAGCACAUAUCUGAAAACAUUAGGCCUUUGUUUGGUUGGGGGUUAACCCUCGUAUUAUCCCCAAACACCCCGUGGGGUAAUUAGCUUACCCCACCUAACCCGGGAUAGUCCAUUUUGGGUGGGUUAGCUAACCCUACCUAGCCCCACCAAAUCCCAACCAAAUAUUAUUUUCUAUUCAUAAUAACCCACGAUCCUUUUUAUCCCACCUACUCUAACCAAAUAUUAUUUUUUAUUAUUCUGGAUUAACUCCAACCUCCAACCAAACACAAAAAUACUCUAACCGUACCUUAACCCUGAACUUAACCCUAUUUCUGGAAUAACUAGUUUUUCCUUAAUCUCGAACCAAACGGUAGCUAGAAUUUUUACAGAAACAACUUAUAAAAGUUAAACUUUACAUAUAUAUAUUCGUAAUUAUACUUAAUUAAAGAUUUCGUAUUCAAAUCCUGUUAGAAAAGUGUUGAACUAAAGGGGCAAUUGCUUAUAUAUUCUUGAAAAAUUUUCGAUUUUUUAUUUGGGUUAAAUGCAUACGCGUCUCUGUAAAUAUAGUAAAUUACAAAUAUAUCUAUGUAAAGUUUAACUUUUAUAUAUUGUCUUUGCAAAAGUUCUAAUAUUUUCAAAUAUGUCCCUUCGGUUUGUUACCGUUAUAAAAUUGUUUAUAUUUUAAGUGAAAUAUUAAUUUUACCAUCACAAAUAUGUCUCUUCAAAAGCCACAAUAGUAUAAUAUAAAAAGAGCAAAAAUAUCAAGUUAUUUUAUAAACUAACCAACCAGGGUUAAGUAUUAAACCUAUGAUUAACUAAAGUUUUAUAAUANUUAUAAUUUAUUAUAUUUUCGAGGACAUGUAUGCAAUUAUUAUUAUUAUUAUUAUUAUUAUUAUUAUUUUUUUUUUUCCCACUACUUUUCUUCGGCAUCUUUACUCACGAGUCCACUGCCGUGCGGCCGACGUCUCUCUGUCUCUCUGUCUCUCUCUCUCUCGGAGUGGCAGACUCCCGCGCGUCACGCGUACGCCUCUUUCCCCGUCACACGCUGGAAAAAUUCUAGAAUGCAACGGGUAUAUUAGUGACGUGGCGUAACAAACCAAUCAAAUUAAUCCUUUUAAAAAUAUAUGUCUCAUCAUGAUUGUAAAAAAGUAUUUUUAUUGUACUUUUGUUUGAAAAAAAAGAAUGUGAUUGGCUUGUUAUUGAUGACGUGGUGCAAGUGUGACAGUGUAGAAUCCCUC